GGUUGUGGCUCAGUGGUAGAGUGGUUGCCUUGCAUGUGUGAGGCCCUGGGUUCAAUUCUCAGAACUG
RNAcentral lists this transfer RNA (67 nucleotides) under Marmota monax (woodchuck). RNAcentral describes it as "tRNA.Ala". The record is from RNAcentral. Lineage: Eukaryota; Metazoa; Chordata; Mammalia; Rodentia; Sciuridae.